GACUUUAUAGACCUCCUCACCCAUCAAUCUCUUCUUCAAAUCAUCGCAAUACAUCAAUACCAGAGUCUCCAGGUACACCUCUACAUCAUCACACUCACUUAUCUCCACUGUAUGCAUAACUCCCUUCUCUCUGUCUCGUAACUUCUCCCUGAAGAAUCCACUUUUCUCUAUCAAAACCCAUUUAUGCGCAUCAAAUGAAACCCUAUACCCAUCUCUCCCAAUCACAGUAAGCCUCACAUCACCCAAUCCCAACCCACAAUUAUUCAAAUUGUCAAAUUCUUUUAAUAUUUUUGAUACUUUUGAUUGGGA
This 309-nucleotide unclassified non-coding RNA is filed under the name Hevea brasiliensis (rubber tree). Lineage: Eukaryota; Viridiplantae; Streptophyta; Magnoliopsida; Malpighiales; Euphorbiaceae. The record is from RNAcentral.